Scleropages formosus (Asian bonytongue) is the source of this 1830-nucleotide long non-coding RNA. The record is from Ensembl. Lineage: Eukaryota; Metazoa; Chordata; Actinopteri; Osteoglossiformes; Osteoglossidae.
GUCAAAUUGUUAUGUUACCGUGGCGAGGCCAAAUAUUUGGCUUUUUCGUAGCUCAUCACAGUUUACUUUCUUUGUAGUGCUUGUACACUUUUUUGCUUGGCGAAGGUUAAAAAACGCGGAAGAAGGUCACCCGCCGCUUACCUUGAAUUUCCGCAGGUGUUGCGGUUUGCAAAAAAACACAAGUUCAGAUUUGGGCUACAAAGUUACGUAUUUAUCGUUCCGCUUCGUUUAGAGCUUCUCGUCGUUAUGGAACGUGGCAGCAGAACUGCGAGAUAUUAAUUGAUAUAAAUUGCAUACGACGGUUCGUGUCCCUGUGUGACGGAGCGGACACUGAGUGAGUGACUCCCGCGAAGCCCUGCGAGGAUUCUGAAGCGGAACCUCGUGAAGAGCGGCGCGCGAGCUGGAGCACAGCGACCACACCGCGCUCGCGCCACUGCUACUCCAGCAGCCUGAAACAUCAUCAUGGAGGAGAACGUGGACUUCAAGACCUUGAGGGACAGAUUUCAUGCGAAGGCUGAAAUGGCUGAUGCCAAAGGUGGUGAUUCCCAGAGGCUUCCGAUGCCACGAUUUCCAAGAGCAGUUCCACCAGCAGGACACAGCCCUUCAGCGAAUGGUGCCGCCCGACCUAAACUGUCGCCUGCCGCUCCUGGACCGCGUUCAUCUCCAGACCUUAGUUGGAUGGCCAGACCAUCUGCAGUUGAACCUGAGUCCACAGGCCCAACAAGGCCGUCCCCACCUUUUGGUGUCUUUCCCAGACCACCUCCAUCCCACCGGACUGCUCCUGUUCCGCAGGAACCCAAAACAGAGAGCCCAGUGAAGGACAGAGUACCAGGAAAGGUCAAAGCUACCGGGGAACUGUUGCAAAACAUGAUGCUGAAGCCAUCUAUGCAGGACAGCCCCCUAUUCAAGCCAACUCCAUCUCCCACAUCAACACUGCGUAGCCAGAGAAGCAUGGCAGAAGUGCCUCCUCUUAGGAGGACUCUACCCCCUGAGGGACCAAAACCUGUCAAACCCAAACGCCCCCCCACUGUUAACCUGGACUGCUACCGGAAAGCUGCACCACCACCUCCGCUGCCUGGACGCCCAUCACUGGGGAAGAAGACAGGAGCUGUUAAUCUACCCAUUCCUGGGUCAGCAAGUCCAUCAGGCCCACCAAGGCCACCAUUCAAACCAAGCAGCCUAAGCCAGCAGCAGUCAGUGAUUGUGAAAGACGAUGAUCAAGACACCUACGAUGAUGUUGACAUACUUCCACCUCCACCACCUCCCCCGCCUUCAAAGUCUGCUUUCAAAGAAGAUUUCUUCAACAACUGUGGUUCCACACCUGGGGAUGAGGUGAGAAUCUAUCUGGCAUCUACAUGAUCUAACAUUUUUUGUUCCCUGGUACCGAUAAUAUACAGUUAUGUGUACAUUAUUUCUUUAGAAAUAUUAUUAAUCCGUCUAACUACAAGUUUCAAGUAUAUUAAAGCUGCCAGUUAGUUUUCAUUAUUUAGUCCAAACAAUAUUUAAAUGUAUUUUUUAAGGGGGGCAUGGUGGCGCGGUGGCGCGGUGGGUUGGACCAGGUCCUGCUCUCCAGUGGGUCUGGGGUUUGAGUCCCGCUUGGGGUGCCUUGCAACGGACUGGCGUCCCGUCCUGGUUGUGUCCCCUCCCCCUCCGGCCUUAUUCCCUGUGUUACCGGGUUGGCUCCGGUUCCCCGCGACCCCGUACGGGACGAGCGGUUCCGAAAGUGUGUGUGUGUAUUUUUUAAUUAAGCAUUUAUAAUUCUUAGCUAACUUCAGCAUUUCCCCAAAUAGAAACAAUAAAAUGGAAUAAGGACUAGAAUGUAAUCUUAAA